Molecule: ribosomal RNA, 253 nt
Filed under: uncultured bacterium
Lineage: Bacteria
Description: partial 16S ribosomal RNA
Rfam family: Archaeal small subunit ribosomal RNA
Source: RNAcentral
UGCCUGCAGCCCAAGUGGUGCUCGUUAUUAUUGGGUCUAAAACGUCCGUAGUCGGCUGAGUAGAUGCCCGGGUAAAUCGCAGCGCUCAACGUUGCGAAUUCCGGGUAGACCGCUCGGCUAGGGAGUGGGAGAGGUGCGAGGUACUCUGAGGGUAGGGGUAAAAUCCUGUAAUCCUUGGGGGACCACCAGUGGCGAAGGCGUCGCACUAGAACACGUCCGACGAUCAGGGACGAAGCCCUGGGGCGCAAACGGG